This 301-nucleotide ribosomal RNA is filed under the name uncultured bacterium. Its description in RNAcentral is "partial 16S ribosomal RNA". It matches the Rfam family "Bacterial small subunit ribosomal RNA", at positions 509 to 807 of the family's 1533-position model. The record is from RNAcentral.
CAGCAGCCACGGUAAUACGUAGGGUGCAAGCGUUAAUCGGAAUUACUGGGCGUAAAGCGUGCGCAGGCGGUUAUAUAAGACAGAUGUGAAAUCCCCGGGCUCAACCUGGGAACUGCAUUUGUGACUGUAUAGCUAGAGUACGGCAGAGGGGGAUGGAAUUCCGCGUGUAGCAGUGAAAUGCGUAGAUAUGCGGAGGAACACAGAUGGCGAAGGCAAUCCCCUGGGCCUGUACUGACGCUCAUGCACGAAAGCGUGGGGAGCAAACAGGAUUAGAUACCCCUGUAGUCCCUGUCUCUUAUAC